RNAcentral lists this ribosomal RNA (460 nucleotides) under uncultured bacterium. RNAcentral's name for it is "partial 16S ribosomal RNA". It matches the Rfam family "Bacterial small subunit ribosomal RNA", at positions 338 to 795 of the family's 1533-position model. The record is from RNAcentral.
CCUACGGGAGGCAGCCGUGAGGAAUAUUGGUCAAUGGGCGGGAGCCUGAACCAGCCAAGUCGCGUGAGGGAAGACGGUCCUAUGGAUUGUAAACCUCUUUAGGCGGGGAGCAAUGCCGGGCACGCGUGCCCGGAGGGAGAGUACCCGCAGAAUAAGCAUCGGCUAACUCCGUGCCAGGAGCCGCGGUAAUACGGAGGAUGCGAGCGUUAUCCGGAUGGAUUGGGUUUAAAGGGUGCGUAGGCGGAUUUUUAAGUCAGCGGUAAAAUGUCCGGGCUCAACCCGGGCCGGCCGUUGAAACUGGGGAGCUUGAGUGGGCGAGAAGUAUGCGGGAUGCGUGGUGUAGCGGUGAAAUGCAUAGAUAUCACGCAGAACUCCGAUUGCGAAGGCAGCAUACCGGCGCCCGACUGACGCUGAGGCACGAAAGCGUGGGGAUCGAACAGGAUUAGAUACCCCUGUAGUC